AUACGGAGGAUCCGAGCGUUAUCCGGAUUUAUUGGGUUUAAAGGGAGCGUAGGCGGACUAUUAAGUCAGCUGUGAAAGUUUGCGGCUCAACCGUAAAAUUGCAGUUGAUACUGGUCGUCUUGAGUGCAGUAGAGGUAGGCGGAAUUCGUGGUGUAGCGGUGAAAUGCUCAGAUAUCACGAAGAACUCCGAUUGCGAAGGCAGCUUACUGGACUGUAACUGACGCUGAUGCUCGAAAGUGUGGGUAUCAAACAGGAUUAGAUACCCUGGUAGUCCACACAGUAAACGAUGAAUACUCGCUGUUUGCGAUAUACGGCAAGCGGCCAAGCGAAAGCAUUAAGUAUUCCACCUGGGGAGUACGCCGGCAACGGUGAAACUCAAAGGAAUUGACGGG
RNAcentral lists this ribosomal RNA (392 nucleotides) under uncultured bacterium. RNAcentral describes it as "partial 16S ribosomal RNA". It matches the Rfam family "Bacterial small subunit ribosomal RNA", at positions 523 to 917 of the family's 1533-position model. The record is from RNAcentral.